AGGGCUGGGGAGAAAUGAGCCCUCUCAACACGGACACGGAAGCCUGGCUAGGAGCUGCAGGUCAAUGACUGAAAAUGGCACAUUUGAAGAGCAGAAAUGAAGAUGUCCUUGAGAGGUUCACUGGGAGAUUGCACUUCGCAUUCAAAAGGAAGAUUAUGAACCUAGGACUUUGGAGAAGAACCUUAGAGUUAGUUUAGAUCAUUAACCAAAAGUUGGAAGAUAAGUUAAAUUUUAUUGAAACGUGGGGCCUCUUAUGCAACCAUACUUGCACUAAAUAAGCUUGGAAUCUGACUUGCUAUAGUGAAUGGGAGGUCUAAUUAUCCAUCUCUGGAAUUUCUGUGGAGAAACCAUCACUUACAUGACCUUUCAUAUGUUCCUUUGAAAGAACCUUCCGCAUUUUUUCUUUUUCCCCCUUUCCCGGGUUUUUAUUACUUGUUUUAACUUUUCUUCUGGGAUAUCAAUUACUACUAUUUCCCUCCUUUAUAGGUAGGAUUCACACAUGCUCAACCUCCCUCGAGUUCCUACUUCACUGAGAUGUGCCAUCUUUUCCUCACUGAUACUGUCUUCCCAGCAGCAGAACCCAGGCUGUUGUGCUACACUGUUACACAAGCUUUAUUUCCUUUACCAAAAGUCUCAUAUUUUCCCUUUUUAAGAUGAUCUUGGAAAAAGAGAUGAGUGUUUCUGAAGCAGAGGUCCUUCAGUAAUCGGAACAAUAAUUUUAAGCAGUGAGCUCCCAUAGAAAGUGAAGGGAGCCUGUUGAACAUCUAUGUGAAAUUAGCAUGAAUUCAACGGUGUCUGAAGCAGCCUCUGCAAAAUGUGUCUCUAAGGACUCAUCAUCACCUGCAUGUCUUGAUCU
Molecule: long non-coding RNA, 856 nt
Organism: Nothoprocta perdicaria
Lineage: Eukaryota; Metazoa; Chordata; Aves; Tinamiformes; Tinamidae
Exons: 2
Source: RefSeq, a predicted model, not a curated record